This 253-nucleotide ribosomal RNA is filed under the name uncultured bacterium. RNAcentral's name for it is "partial 16S ribosomal RNA". It matches the Rfam family "Bacterial small subunit ribosomal RNA", at positions 524 to 776 of the family's 1533-position model. The record is from RNAcentral.
UACGUAGGGUGCGAGCGUUAAUCGGAAUUACUGGGCGUAAAGCGUGCGCAGGCGGUUUUGUAAGCCAGAUGUGAAAUCCCCGGGCCUAACCUGGGAAUGGCAUUUGGGACUGCAAGGCUGGAGUGUGGCAGAGGAGACUGGAAUUCCUGGUGUAGCAGUGAAAUGCGUAGAUAUCAGGAGGAAUACCGAUGGCGAAGGCAGGUCUCUGGGCUGACACUGACGCUCAUGCACGAAAGCGUGGGGAGCAAACAGG